UUGAGUUUUGUAAUCUGUCCACAAAAACUCAAAAUCAAUAUCCAACUUCAGUGAUAGAAUCACCUCAAGAUGGGUGAGCAAGUGCGAGAGAGAGAGAGAAGCUCUAGCACUUAGUUACCAACAAUGAGCAAUCUGAUGGUAUUGGUAACCUGCCAAUUAUUAUUUUUCUAGUGAUCCCGAUGACAUUCCCAAAUUCAUCCAAUGAUUCCGAACAAAGAGAAUGGGGCCCAAAGUAAUGGCGACAAACAGUUGGCACUUAGGAUUCAAAUGCUAAACCAGUCACUAUGCAAUAGUGAAAUUCAGGUACAUGCCAAUAGAUGUGGAGGCACCAUGAUAAUAAGUAUACUAACAAGAAUGCAAAAGAGCAGUAACAUCUCCAAUGAAGUAUAUGGCAUGUAAACACUAAAUAACCUCAAUGACAGUCCCAGGCAUGGAUGAGAAAGGUUAAAGGUGGAGACUAGGUUGAAAGCUGGCCGUAAAAAAGGAUGAUCAAGCUAUGUAAAGUUCCAUAUUGGCUCACAUUGUCCGGUAAUAAAGAUAUUUGGGGCAAACAAGGUGAACAUAAGAAAAUUGAGAUGGAAAUGAGGCAAGAACUGCAUAGUAGAGGAGGCAUAGAAUUGCACCAAUUGAGGGCAACUAAUUGAAGAACCAGUUGAGAUGAUGAGCAUGUUCACUGAAAUUAAAGGAGUCCCUAGUCAGAAGAGGUGCUCAAGUUUAUAUUUAAGCAUUGUGGAAACAGUGGGGAAGACCUAAGCUGGCAUGAUGCGGGAAAAAAAACUUGCAAUACCAACCAAAGUAGUCAUUAAUGAGAAAAAUUGGCAAAUAAGAACAGGAUAUACCAAAAAGUUGGGACAAGACCUGCUGGUGAUAUUUACAUCUUGCAUUCACUGGCAAAAAAAAUAUUAUUGCAAAAACAAGAAGUAAGAGCCAAAAAAGACUAGGAUAAGAUAAUAUAGACAGGAGGUAUGUGUUGCAGAAUAGGUAUUACCCAACUCAGUUUUUUUGGAAGGGUAUUUUAUCUCUCCAUAUAGCAAUAGGUAACAGUAGAAAGUUGAUAAAACUACUGCUUUUGUUUCUUUUCUCCAUCCACUAGAAAUUGAGAGUAGGUAAAUGAGAAUAGUUCCAUAUUUAUGGUUCCUUUCCUAGAAGUAAAAGUGAACCGGAUGAUAUCUGUCAGGACCUGUUUCUGCAUCCAAAUACUUUCAGAUAUGGAUAUAAAUUUGAGUAUUCGACUAAUAUUUGUAUCCGUAUCCGUAUCCAUCAAAGAAAAACAAAUAUGGAUAUGUAUAGACAACCAUCCGAUCCAUAUCCGAAUGUGCAGUUUUAUUUGUAAUCCUAUUCAGUCUACAAUUCUCGUCAACUUGAAAAGAAAAUAAGUAAUAAUAUUAACAUCUCUUUAACAUAAUUUACCUUUUAUACUAAUAUCUUUGAUUUGAUGGUUCACAAAGUUUAACUAUUUGAUUUAUAUUCAUAUUUAUAUUCGUAUUGUCAAUAUCUGGUUUUUAUCCAUAUCCUUUUCAAACAAGAUUUUAACAUUCAAUUAAUAUCCAUAUCCAUAUUUGUAUUCGUCAAAUAAAAAUGGAUAUGGAUAUGAAUAUACUAAUAUCCGAUCCAUAUCUGCUCCAUUUACAGCCCUGUUGAUUCUUUGUAAAAUAUUAAAAAAAAAAGAAUAGAACCUUCUUUUUUAGAUCUGAUACUCCAUAUUUAUUACAAAAUCAAACCAAAUAUCAAGCAGAUACAAAUGUAAAAUGAGAAACCUUUUAGUCAGAUUCUUAUCCAGUAUAAUCCAUACAUUUUCUUAAUACAAAAAGUGUUAUUCCCAUAAAGUUGGAGGCAGAUCAGAGACUCGGAGUAACUCUACCAAACAACAACCUAAAAGAUGACCUGCUCCAUCUCGAUUGACUAAAACUCGUUUAACCAUCAAAGGGUAGGUCAAUCUCUAUUGUUACCAUAAGUGAUUUUUGCAGUUGAGAACGGGGAGAUCUAUCAGUGAUAGAUCUUUUUUUCUGCUUAAGAAUUCCCACAUAUAGUGGUCAACACCUCCCUCAUCAGUCCUCUUCCCUAGGCUCCCAAUACAAUUAAAAUCAUGUGGAGUCACAUAUAUGUUGACACUGACAUUUCAUUCUCACCAUUAAAAUAGUGAGCAUGAAAGUAGCAACUAUAGUUUGCCUGACACUAACCAAUGCUGGGAAAAACAUAUAGGAAUACUGCAUUCGCUACAUAAAACACCCCUGCUACCCUCUUAUCCUCGAGUGUCUAAAAUAUAUUCUAUAGUUGCAAUUCCCAACCAAUUGUCCAUGACUGGAUGAAUUUAUUGUUACAUAUGUCAUCUUAAAAAAAGUUUUGAAUUUUAAGAAUAUUUUAGGAAUACCCAACUGUCAAUUUUUUUCAUAAAAUACCUUGAACUCCAUGAAGCAAUCCCAAGUUCCUAUACCAGCAAGUCCCCUGACUCAAUCCAUUACCUUCCUAAUAGGCCCCCAAAUCUCCAAACAUUCCCACCUGAAAUCUCUCUCUCUCUCUCUCUCUCUCUCUCUUGCUCAAACACACAAGACAUGCAUGCAAACUAGAAAUUGAAGCUUUUCUCACCCUCUUUUCAUCAAUACAUUUUUUCCCUCCAAGCCCACUUACCUAUAGUCCCUCUCUCACCCUCAUUCCUCCCAAUACUUUUCUUUUCCAACUUGUCCUUUAACUUCUAUUAAUACAUUAUUCUUAUAAUCUUCUAUUGAUUACCUCCAAUCAAGGUUUCAAAUCUCGGUAUCCGACACAGUGCUGGUAGAUUACGAGUAUGGAUCGGGUUGGUAUGGCACACCCUUGUACCAUGUUAGAGGCAAGACAAUAGUUGUACCAUAUGCCUAUACAGCACCGCCAAAAGCCUGUGAAUUGUUCCGAUACCUUAUUAGGUGCAUCUGGUAGCAUGUUACUAAGCAAUAUGUAUAGACCGGUACAAAAAAUUAUUCCUCCAGUUACGGUGACUUAAUUAAUCAUGGAGUAAAUGCUCCAUUGUAACAUGAAACUUCUUGAAUGAAACCCUCUACAAAUUUUUGCCCCAUUAUCCAACAUGCCAUGUUUCUCUGUCCCUCUUUUCAGUUUUUUUGUAAAAAUUUCCCAUUAUGAUUUUCUAUUGAUAUUAUUUAGUUACAUUUUUUAUAUUAUCUACUCUGUUUUAUUUUUUUCAGUUUCCUAUUUUGUAUUUUCUAUUUUAUGUUGCCUUUUUUCUAGAAUUCCUUUUUGUUUCAUAUGUUUUAAUUUUCUUUAGUUUAAUUUUAGUACUUUCCAGUUUAUAUUUUUUUAUUGUUUAUUUUCAGUUAAUCUGUUGUUGAUCUUGGAUUUUGUAUUCUCAUUUUUUCUUUAUUUAUUAUUUUUUCUACUUUUCUUGUUUUCUUUAUUUUAUACUGAGUUUUGUGAAUUCGACAUAUUUCAUUUUGUUUUGUUUUCAUUUUAUAGUAAUUUAAUUCUUCUUUUUUUAAUUCUUAAACAUGCAUUGCAUAUGCCCUUUUGCUAGUAAUCAUGGAGAACCAAGCAUGAUGUUGAAACAGAGUACAAAAUCAUACCAUGUAUAAAUUUCUCCUAUUUCUUCAUGUUUAUUGAGAAAAGAGAAAAUAGUAAAAAAUCAUUUAAUUUUCUGAAUAACCCAUGUUUAAAUCCAAAAAAAAACUUUGUCUAAGAAACUUAAAUUACAGAAAUCUAAUGCUUUAAUCCAAAACUCCGACCUUGUUUUUCACCUCAAUGUUACCAUAAAAGGCAGAAAAGGACUACAUAUUUAAUGUUUUUCAAGAAAUGCAUUUGACCACAAAUCAUAAUCUCUAUGCUCAAAUGCCCGAGAUGAAGAGAUCCUGAAGUUUCAUAUUCAAGAUAUUAGCAUGGGUAUAUGGACUACAAAAGAGAUUAAGCUUUAGGGGCAUGAUAGUAUUCAGCUUUUUUCUUUCCAUAAAUUAUGUUCCAAGGUUCGCCAUCUUAGUACUAAAACCUGUACCGGUACCAUUCUAUUAUAGUGUCGAUAUGCUUAGUAUGGGAGCCGAUUCGGCAUACUGAGUGUUAGCUUACUCUUUGUACCACGUAUUAAUUCGGUACCAGUACGGUACGAUCGGUACACACCGAUAUCGAUCGGUAUGGCAAACCUUGCUAUGUACUAUUUUUUUGUAUUGACAUCUUGGAAAUCUAACUCCUUUCAUUCCCAUGAGGAAAAUAGUACGUACCUGAGGCCUAUAAUUUUUUAGCUAUGAAUCAUUAAAAGAAAACUUCUGAAUUUUACACAAUCAGCCAAUUUAACUUGUAGAAGAAUUUGUCAAGAGUCAUGGAGAAGCUUUUACCAUCAUCUUGCCUCCUUAAGGCAAUAUUGAUGUUCAUAACUUUGUAUUACCUUAAAUGCUCCUUCCCUACACUUUGUCAAGCAUCUAAGUCUUAUUUUUAGGUAACGUUCAUAAAAACCACCUUAAGGUGUCAUGGACAUACUUAACACAUAUCUACAUCUACUAUAUUACAGUGAGAAAUCUUGGAGAGACUCUAAAAUGUGAAGUCUCACCAAGGAUGUAGGGCAUGUGUUCUAAAUAUGCAAGAGAAAAACCAACCAGAGCCUCUCCAUUAUAUCUCUUUUUUUUCUUUGGAUUUUACCAUGAGUCACAAUUUUCUUUCCAUUCGUAAAAUCCUAACUCUUCCUAGGCAUCUCAACCGACUCAAUCUUUAUCUCUUAAUAAAUUCAGACUUUCAAGAGUAGAAAGAAUCUUAAGGAGUUUUGGAAAGAAAGAUGAUAAACAUAUUGUAACAAUCCAUACCUCUAAGAUUUUUCAAUGAAUGUGCUCUCACAUGCAAAGCACAUGCCAAAGACUAAUGAUAGAAGAUUGCAGCUUCCCAAAAGCAUGGUACAAGAAGGUGCAAGGGCAUCACAACUUGAUCAAGUUCCUGACUUGAUUGAUGGUGCAUCUUGGCUUUUCUUGGCAUGGGUACCUAUUGUUCAUGCUUAUAGCUACCAAAAUGAACUAACAUGGAGCAUUACUUAUGGUUUUCUUCCUUAUAAAGAUCUCCUUUUGUUAUUACCUACCGUUUGUAAGGAUACCUUUGUUCUAUGCAACAAUAGGAAAGAUUGAGUUGUUAAUCCAAAAAUGAUCCUGUAUUGCAUGAACUAGACUUGGGGCUAAAUCUAGUCACUAGAGAACUACAAAGCUAGGCUUUGGUUGAAUGAUGGAAAAGUAGAGUAUUGGAGAUUGUUUUAAGUAAAGAUUUAAAGUCUUGGUAUUUGUACCAAUACUAGCUGACUCGUAUGGCACAGUAUUGUAUGGAUACAUGAUACAUCUACUAGGGCCGACACAAAAAAAAUAAGUUACCAUUCAUCAGCACGAUACCUUAUUGACGGGGUGUGCUAGAAUCAAUACAGCAGUACAGCACAAUUGGUAUGGACUAUUAAAAGGCCCCUAAUAUAUAAUGGAUCUUGAAUCACUAUUCUUGCAUCUCCAAGACCAAAGCCUCCUGCAUUGGGAUUGCUUUGCCAUGGCUGAUCAAGCUUGAUGGAUUCACCCUCUGAAACAAGAAGUUCUGGUCUUGGAGGUAUAAUAUUAACUACUUGAUGUCCAUCCAAUGCAUUAACUACCAUUGUUCCAUAUUUGUCAUUUUACUCCAAGACAUGGUUCUAAAAAACAGCAGCAUUGGCUAAUGGCUAUAGUUGUAAGUGAACAAAGCCAAGGCAAGUAGUAGUCUUCUUAAGCCAGGCUCACUAUAUAAAAGGGCUGAUCAAGCUUCAGUGAAACUUAAUCAAAUGGGGUCCAAGCUUGGCCCAUUAUGAAGCAAGCUCCUUACCAAGUCAUACCAGGCUCCUACAUAUGUUUCUGAGUCAUUAGUACUCAGGAUUAACUCAUUUAUGAGCCCAGCUUUCAUUACUAUUUGAGCUCAACUUGUUUCCUAGCUUAGCAAGCUCAAGUAAGCUACUACAAGCUAAUUCUGAAAAACUCAUGAACCGUUUGGUCAUUUGUGACCCUAGCCUUGGCUACCUAGAUAGGGCCACAUAGGCACACCUUAAUAUCAUGAAUCAUGUUUGAGUGUAAUAGGUCUGAUCAAUUUGUAUGUAGCGUAUAGUCUAAAACAAAGGAAUCAUGCAACAAAAACUGGAAGCAAGUCUAAAAAGUAUCUCAAGAAUCUCAUUUCCCUAUCUUUGUAUCAAAUCCAAGUUUUCCCUAUAUGUAUCAGUUUUUGAUGCUCUUUAUUUCUUUUUCGAGUUUAAAAAAAAACGGAGAUAGAUGAUAAAUUUAACUCAUAAUAGAGUUAUAAUUUAUAACUAUAACUACAAGCAUGUGAUUAGAUAACCACUUUAAAAAAAUUUAAAAUGCCCAAAUUCAAUGUACUCAUCAGGCCUACUAAAAUUGAAAUAUAAUGAAUUUGCAAACAAAUGAAGCUUAAGAAGUUACAUUAACAUAUAUUCGCUGAUAUUUUAAGUCUUGUUACUAGCCCUGUGCUGAUAUCUUUCCAUUGCGGUAGAGUAGGCCCUCGUACCAACACAUGGUACACUAUUGGAGCUAGAAAAAAAUAGUACCACAUACUGGUACGGGGGCAUAUCAAAUCCUGUACUGGCACUACUACCCUAACUGCUACCCUACUAGGUUAGUACGGUACACCUCCCUACUGAGUCAAUACGGUACAUCUUGUACCACCUAGUGCAAUAUAAUAUUGUACGUAAAACAUUGAUACUCAGUAUUACAUACCAAUGAAUUUAAUUGCACCUAUAUGCUAAGUUUAGCCUAAAAUUAACAAAACUACACAAAUAAAGAACCUACAGAAUGUCCAACCAAUAAAAAAGAACCCAUAUAACACAAUAAUCUAAAAUGUGUAAUAAUAUUUCUUAGAUUUUUUCCUUAAACUUUUCCUUUUUUUGAAUUCCCUUUUUUUUGACCAAAAACUCCAAUCUUCGAGCGAAACUUCUGAAAUUGCCAAAACUAAAACUCCAUAAACUUGGUCAAAAUCAAAACAAACCUUGAUCCUAGGUAAUUUGCACCAAGUGGUUCUCCCUCCCUUUCUCUUAAAAGUGAUAAUAAAAGUAAUGGCAUGCCAAAAACAUUUGCUGCAGGUUUCGAUAUGGCGAACUAGCAAAAUACAUACUUUGACUUACAAAAUUAUAAAAGUAAUGGCAUGCCCAUUUUCUUAAAAAGGCAAAGCCAAAGGUGAGCAUUUAAUUUGCCCAUGAAGCUCCAACAUAAAAUGCCAACAUAUAAGGCAAGGCAUAAGCUUCAUAGAUUGUUUUGUUUUCAAAUGGAAAUAGUUAGAAAGUUAUAAUAAAGUGGGAAGAAAAUCAACAAAAAAAAAUGUUUCAUGUUUGGUUGUAGUAUUGAAUAAAGUAACAAGCAAUAUCACAAAGACUUCAAACAUGCAGAGAUCUUGAAGCAAUUAUAUUUCAAAUUUCCUUGAUUUGGUUUUGAAAUUUUGUCUUCAAUGAUAGUGAAAACUGCAAAGCUUCAAUCUGGAAUAGCGCAGCCCUUCAAAGUAAAAUUUGUUAUUUAGCUCCAUACACAACAUCAUGCAAAAAUAUAUAAGAAACCCAUCAUGUAUGGUGUGCUACAACAAUAAAUCUAUAUAUGCCAUGUAUAUGCUUCACUCUGUAAUACAUGCCCUGUAUAUGCUUCACUCUAUAAUACAUGCCCAAAGUAUUUUCAAGAACGUUCCCUCAAGGCAUGAUGUAACAACAAGGAGCCACGCUCAAAAAGAUUAGCCAAAAUGUAUUAUUUAGGUUCCUUGACAAUGUAUAAGUAUCCAAUCUCCUAGUGCGCAACCGAUGUGAGACUAAACACAAAGCCGCACUGUUCUCACAAACUCCCCCAUUUAAGCCUUGGCAUCGUCGACAGGAUAAGGUGCUCCUGUAUUGUUUGUCAAAAAGAAAGAAAUGGAAUGUUUAGAGUUGCACAAGUGAUUAAUCAAUAGCACAAUACAAAGCCAAAUUUGCUGAAUUGGCAAGGUUUGCCCAACAUAUGCUUGUUGAUGAGACAAGAAAGGUAAAGAAAUUUGAGAGGUUUGACACCAACCAUCCAAAGUAGAAUAUUUGCCCUAAAGUUGCGAACAUAUGCUGAGGCAGUGGAUUGGCCCUUUUGACCUUCUAGCUAGUCUUUUUAUGUGAGCCUCUAGGUCAUUAGAAAUGGUAUGUAGACCUAGCCUGCUGCCCAGAUGAACUAUGGGACACUACAGCACAAGACCUUCUAGGGUUGACCACGAGCUGUUCGUGGUGCUUGUGAUUAAAUUUAGACUCUUAGCCUGACUGGAAUGCCAGAGCUUAAAUGAGCAGUGGGAAUAUGAGAAACCUGUACAAACAUAUAUUUAGUCUCAUAUUGAUUGUAUGCUAGAGAAAUCUUAGGUACUUAUACAUGGCCAAACAAUCCAAACAAUAAAUAAUCCAAAUAAUACCUUCUAGCUAGCUUCUUGGGUGAGGUCCUAAGUUGUCGCACAUCAGGUGAGGCAUACUUUAUAGAGGCCAUUUAAACAAUUAGUAGACCAAAACUAACCAUUCCAUGCAUCAAUUUUGUUUCUUAGAUAGAAAGUUUAGGCCACUUUUUCUUUUUUCCUUUCUACUAUGGCUGAAAGACAUGUUUUAUUUUACUUUUUGAGACAUUAAGACUUUGUUAUAAACUCUCUUCCCAUUUUAAAAACACCCCCUACUAUUUCGGAUGUUCUAGUAGCAACUUGUAUAUAAGACACCUAAAAGUCUGCAUCCCUUAUUGUUUGGAGAUUGCAAAUUACACUUUUAUAGUUUUAAUGAGAACAAACUAACAUUUGAGCCUCCUCAAAAAACACUUCUAGGAUAAGAUCACUCUUGAGGUACCAAGUUAAGUGUUCAUUAAAAACCUAGAAAGAUAAUCACUUUGAAUUAGUAGCUCUGCCCCUUCAUUAAAUUAGAUUCUGAAAAAUAAAAUUAAGUACAGAUUUACAUUGUAGAUUCAGUAAUUUGCGGUUUUGCAAUCAGUCCUCAUAAAACAACUUAAUGUCCCCACUAAGUAUAUAAUUUUCUAUAUUUGUGCAGCACAGUAGUCAUAGCUAUAGAGAUGAAACUAUAAUAUCUGUAUUGGAAUGUUUGCAUGUAUAUAAAACUUCUCACAUGACAAAGAUGAAUGCCUACAUCAUUCAUAAGUUCAUGAAGAUGAAUUUAAAGUCAAGAAAAAGGAACCAAAGAGUCUGUAAUAAUCUCCUUAACAAUAUAGACUUUCUAGUUUCAAAAAAAAAGGUAGCAUAUAUACUCCUGGAAUAAGUCAUUUCAAGAACAAACACGUCAUUCCAUUUGUACAACAAUAAGAAUCACAGUGGCACAGAACGAUGCAAGCUUGUGAAAGAUAGUUGCAUAACCUGUUUCUUUGGAACUUGUACCUUUUUCGAUGGCCUUACAAGUAAAAUUUACAUGCUCUGAACAAUUAAAUCACACUAUAGACCCCUGUAAACAAACAGUGGACUAUAAGCAUGCUAAAGCAAGCAUUAAUAUUUUCCAUAUAAUAUAUGUUAAUGAUGUGCGCGCUUCAAAAUAUUUGCAACUUUGGAACAUGAACUAACAAUGAUAUUCACUAUUAAAUAAAAUUUACAUGUAUGAUUUUUCCCCCAAGAUAACUAAACAUGUAUUUACCAACUAUGUUUGUCUGUAUCACUAUCAUAGUAUGGCAGGUAACAAGCUGCAAUCCAGAAUAUAAUACAUAUUUCUGAAGGUGUGGGCAAUGUAGCACUCUGGCUUGCCAAACACUGGUGAAUUUUCAACAAAAAAACAAAAACAGUAAUGUAGGACAAUUGUUGCCACAUUUUGUAAACAUUUAUGAGUUAUACAAGAAAACAGUUAUUCAUGCUGCAUCAAAAUGCCAAUUGGAAUAAUUAAUUUAUUAUGAGUAUAUAAAAUAGUUUAGCAGUCAUACUUUUGCAUCAAUAGGACUGCUGAACAUGGUCUUAUUGGACAUAUGAAUAGAAAAAGAAAUAACAAGAUGAAAUCUAUCCUCUAAUAGCUCACAUAAUAUGGCUCCCACAGUUGUGACCUGGAAAUCAUGUUUGGGACUAACAGAAGUCCAAAUGAUCUUCAAACAUGCAGAAUUGUUACAUAAUGAAAUAGAGUACUAAUUUAUUAGAAAAAACAGAGUAUUUAUUGAAUGAGGAGAAUACCCCAACAAUCAAAACGGACCAUGACUUCAGGUACAUGUAGUUGAAUUAGGAUGGAAUGAAACAGACAAGACCAAGAACAAAAGGCUUAAGGAAGAAGGAAGCAUCACCCAUGAUGGCAGAAGGCAUGAGAUAGGACGGAUUGGCAAAACAACUUAAAUUCCGCAAAAAGAAAACACAAUAAUUGUUGACCUUUUUAGAAUUUUGGCCCAGACAUCUUUUUGGAAUUAUGGAAGUGAGCAUCAGUUUCAUACAAUUUCCCACCUAGAAAAAAAAGAAGCAGUGAUCUCUAUUUUUGAAAUAGCAGAAAGAAUGUGAAAUUAAAGCAACAUAAUUGUUGUGGUGGAGUCGCUUAGGGGAUUGACUAACAUAAACUUAAGAAUCACAACUGCUAAAAUUCUGCACCUUCACCGCUAACCAAAAAAGGAGAUUUUGCUGACAAAUGCAUCCCAUUUGGAUCAAAAUCUACAUCAGAAACAACACUAAUUCAGGCACCAUGCUGCUGGCUAUCUAAACUUAAGAAUCAAAUACCACAGAGCCUUUACAAAUAACUGACCUAAAACUCCACAUAUAGCUAACAGGUUGAUGAGGGGUGAAAACAUAACAAUCAAUCCAAGAAACGACAUUCUUAACAAAAAAGACAAGCUUGAUCAAAACCACAACAUGACAAACCAUU
RNAcentral lists this long non-coding RNA (10774 nucleotides) under Phoenix dactylifera (date palm). Its description in RNAcentral is "long non-coding RNA (PDAC_LNC001563)". The record is from RNAcentral. Lineage: Eukaryota; Viridiplantae; Streptophyta; Magnoliopsida; Arecales; Arecaceae.